Long non-coding RNA from Cucurbita maxima (winter squash), 1924 nucleotides. RefSeq lists it as uncharacterized. Lineage: Eukaryota; Viridiplantae; Streptophyta; Magnoliopsida; Cucurbitales; Cucurbitaceae. The record is from RefSeq and is a predicted model, not a curated record. The transcript has 2 exons.
AGCCAUAAAGCGAAAGAAGGGACUGGGGGGAGUACUCUGCUACAGAAUUAUUGGACUGUCCGUCACUUCCGGCCUUCAAAUCUGCCGUCGACUCUCGCCGGCGACCUAUUUGCCGGCCAUUCUCAGCCGUUGAUUUUAUUUUCCUUUAAGAACGACGACAAAACCGCACCACUCACUCAGCUCCAUUUCUUCAACCCUUUAUAGCCCCCGAUUUCCCUUCAGAUUCUUCCUUCCCCUUACGCAGCCAUCUGUUUUAGUCCGCAACUUUCCGCGAUUCCUCAAACUCUCUUCCGAACUUAUAAUUGAUGGCAAUGGCGAUGCUUCCCAUUUUUCACAUAUUUCUCAAUCAUUUUCAUUCAGAUGUGAAGGGGGUCUCUCUCUCUUUCAUCCUUUCUUUUUCGUAUUUCUUGUUUUAGAUCUGCUCAAACUUUUUGAAAUUUUUUAUUUCGUUUGUUGAUGAUUUGGGUGUUUUUGAUUUCCCCUGUUAUUUGUUGUGUUUCUUUGAUUCAAUGGGAGGUAGAGUCAGUGGAGGCAGCGGUUCAUCGACCUCUUCUUGGGAUUUGUACUGAUUUGUAUCACAAAAACACGAACCGGUCGAUAAACCUCUGCAUCCAGCGCUCCCACCCUUGUUGGUUGUUCGUUUAUAAUUUUAGGACAACUGGGAACAGUGAACCUCUUUUGCAGUUCGUUUCUUUGACCAUCUGGGACCCCUUUGUGUUUCUGUCUGCAUCUUGAUUAGGGGGGCAAAGGCACAACAAAAUUUUCUUACCAUUUUGCUUUUUUCUGCUUCGUUGUGGAAGAUGAGAGUUUCUCUGGGAGAAAAAAUUGAAGAUGAUUUUGUAUUGUAGUGUAGUUUUGAUUGAAACUGUUCUUAUUCAUAUUCUCUUGUAGUUAUGGGAUUGUUUGGUUUGGUUGCAGCUCUAAAUCUUUCCCCCAACCAGAGGAUAUUAUCCGGUUACUACUUAUGGGAUAGGAUCAUAAAUUCUGAGCUCCUACGGAUUUAGUGGAAUGCUAUAUUCAAACUAUCUAGAUGAUAUUACCAACUCUGAUCAUGUCUUUUCCUUUCCAUUUGGACUUGUAUGAGAUUAUGGUGCAAGAAUUCUAACAUGGUUGUGGGAAUUGUUCUAUAAUUGAUGUUUCAUAGAUCUGAGCAUAAAAGGUCUUGAUGUGACAAAUCCCUUGAUUGGUUAAUUGUUUCCACUGAUUAUGGAUUUGGAAACUCCUCUGCCAGAUUCCUAUGAAUUUGAUGCUUUCCCACUUCUUAUAUAUCAGAUCCCAUAUUAGUUGAAGAGUGGAACGGAAAGAAGGGUGUAAAAAGACGUUUUAAAACUAUGAUGAUGACGAAGAUAUGUAACAGGCCAAAGCGGACAAUAUCUGUUAGUGGUGAGCUUGGGCGGUGUGCCAGUGAUGACACUAGCCCUCAAGGGGGAGGAUUGUGAGAUCUCACGUUGGCUCUUAAGGGGGUGGAUUUGUGAGAUCCCACGCCGACUCUCAAGGGGAGUGGGUUGUGAGAUCCCACAUCGGUUGGAGAGGAGAACGAAUUAUUCCUUAUACAAGGGUGUGAAAACCUUAGACUGCUUUAAAAUUGUGAAGUUGACAAAGGACGAAAGCGGAUGUUGGACUUGUAUUGAACUUGUAUUGAGAUAAGCCAACAUCAGAGCAUGUGUUGCUUGUUGUGGUUGUCAUUUUUGUAACCUUUUAUGGUGUCAUUUGAAGAAGCCAUGUCUUUUUCUUCAUAGGUGGUAUAGUUCUUCUGCUCAUUGGUGCAGUUCAGCUUAGGAAAAAGGGACCAACUUUACUGAAAGAAUCUAAGGGAUGGCAUGCAAUACCAGUUCAACCUUCAUUGCCGUGUUGAAAUCAACAGUUCUGAAGUGCCAAGCUGCCAAGGCAGGCCCAGUGGAUGAGGUAUCAGAUUCCUUUUUUU